Molecule: transfer RNA, 85 nt
Filed under: Methanobacteriota archaeon
Lineage: Archaea; Methanobacteriati; Methanobacteriota
Also listed under: 3 other names
Description: Euryarchaeota archaeon (hydrothermal vent metagenome) tRNA-Leu
Rfam family: tRNA
About the family: Transfer RNA (tRNA) molecules are approximately 80 nucleotides in length. Their secondary structure includes four short double-helical elements and three loops (D, anti-codon, and T loops). Further hydrogen bonds mediate the characteristic L-shaped molecular structure. tRNAs have two regions of fundamental functional importance: the anti-codon, which is responsible for specific mRNA codon recognition, and the 3' end, to which the tRNAs corresponding amino acid is attached (by aminoacyl-tRNA synthetases). tRNAs cope with the degeneracy of the genetic code in two manners: having more than one tRNA (with a specific anti-codon) for a particular amino acid; and 'wobble' base-pairing, i.e. permitting non-standard base-pairing at the 3rd anti-codon position.
Source: RNAcentral
GCGGGGGUUGCCGAGCAUGGCCAAAGGCGCUAGGUUGAGGGCCUAGUUCUGUAGGGAUCCGCGGGUUCAAAUCCCGUCCCCCGCA